This is a long non-coding RNA of Quercus lobata, 625 nucleotides long. RefSeq lists it as uncharacterized. The transcript has 2 exons. NCBI's taxonomy places the organism in Eukaryota, Viridiplantae, Streptophyta, Magnoliopsida, Fagales, Fagaceae. The record is from RefSeq and is a predicted model, not a curated record.
UGGGCGGGUCCUUGAAAAUUUUUAGCAUCCAAAAAGUUUUCAAAUUUGUUCUAAAGAAUAUGAAAUACGUCUUGGGAUCCUAGGGUCAUUUUCUCCUAACCCUGAACUUACUGUCUCCAACUUCCCAAUCGGCAGCGAUGGCAACCUUAACACUGCCUCGCUCAUCGCUGUAGGACUCCUCUAUGUUUCCUCAUCUUGAUGAAGACAAUUGAGUGAGCCAACUAAUGAAGCUAUUCAAGGGCUUGGAAGGAGCUCUUGUGUUAGUCAAGAACUUGACUUACAGGAUUUUAAUAUUGAAUGUGCUUAGCUACUGGUGUAUUCAAUUCUACUCAACUAAAUUCAAUACUUACAGCUUUGGUCAUCUAUUACAAGAUGUCAAAGAUGAUACAAAGCCUUUUUGCAGUGUUGAGUUUAAACUUGUACUGAAGAAAGGUUGUUCAAGUGCUUAAUAUUCUCGGCAUGGUUAUAGGUAGAGCCUUUGGACAAAAGUGGGUGGCACUUAUCCACUUGAGAUCGACAAAGCAAUUGAUCUUGAAGCACACUUUUGUUAUUUUGUCCUUGUAAUCAAAUUAUAAGUCUUGUAAUAUAAGUCUAUAUGUCAAUAGAACUUUUGUUAUUUUGUCCU